GAUGAACGCUGGCGGCGUGCCUAAUACAUGCAAGUCGAGCGAACGGACGAGAAGCUUGCUUCUCUGAUGUUAGCGGCGGACGGGUGAGUAACACGUGGAUAACCUACCUAUAAGACUGGGAUAACUUCGGGAAACCGGAGCUAAUACCGGAUAAUAUUUUGAACAGCAUGGUUCAAAAGUGAACGACGGUCUUGCUGUCACUUAUAGAUGGAUCCGCGCUGCAUUAGCUAGUUGGUAAGGUAACGGCUUACCAAGGCAACGAUGCAUAGCCGACCUGAGAGGGUGAUCGGCCACACUGGAACUGAGACACGGUCCAGACUCCUACGGGAGGCAGCAGUAGGGAAUCUUCCGCAAUGGGCGGAAGCCUGACGGAGCAACGCCGCGUGAGUGAUGAAGGUCUUCGGAUCGUAAACCUCUGUUAUUAGGGAAGAACAUAUGUGUAAGUAACUGUGCACAUCUUGACGGUACCUAAUCAGAAAGCCACGGCUAACUACGUG
RNAcentral lists this ribosomal RNA (497 nucleotides) under uncultured bacterium. RNAcentral describes it as "partial 16S ribosomal RNA". It matches the Rfam family "Bacterial small subunit ribosomal RNA", at positions 28 to 507 of the family's 1533-position model. The record is from RNAcentral.